This 1478-nucleotide long non-coding RNA is filed under the name Callithrix jacchus (white-tufted-ear marmoset). Its description in RNAcentral is "lncRNA (ENSCJAG00000069725.1)". The record is from RNAcentral. Lineage: Eukaryota; Metazoa; Chordata; Mammalia; Primates; Cebidae.
AUGUUCCCUAAUAACCCUAGAAGAAUGUUUCUUCUGUUAUUCCCAUUUAAUAGAUGCCAAAGCUAUGAAAAGAAAGGUAGCUAUUUGUCCAAGUUCACCGAGCUGGAUAGUGGCAGAGCUGGGAUGGAACAAGGGCUACCUCUCACCAGAGGCAAAGAUCUUCACCACCAUGUGAGAAGGCCUCCCACAGUGGAUUCACCCCGGCAAGUUUAUCCUGAAUGGCUGCCUCACUCUCUGUGAAGAGCCAUGUGCCUGGACAGUUCCUCUCAUUUCUCCUGAUCAGCAGAAAUUGCUCUCGGCUCUCCUAAGAUGUCACCAGCCUUUAGUGAGCUCACGUUCAGCAGUCAAGCAGGCAGUGAAGACCUGAAAGGGUGGGCAUGAAGAGUUGGAGGAUGGGUGCUGACUUGUUAUGUGGCUGAGGAUCUGUGGAAUUCUCAUCUGUCAUGCCAGGCCACCCACAGUUAUUAAAAGACCAUUACAGGUUAGUCUGGCUUCUCCUUACUCUUAUCUAUGGUCUGGCCUUUUCUUCUGCAGCUCCAUGAGGGAGGAGAAUAGCUGUGGGUCCAGUGUAGUUAUGAAGAGAUCUUUGCUUUCUAGAAUUAAUGUCAUUUAGCUAUUUUUGUGUUCUUUGUCCUCUGAUGGGUUCUAAAUAAAAUAUGAUUUUGUAGCUUAUCCAGAGUAUUUUCACUGUUCAGGUAAAAGCAACAGUUUUUCAAGUCUCUACAAACUGAGCCUAAAUGGGUGUCUGCUACAAACUACUUGAUGUGAUCAACUCUGGGUCCAGUGUGUCACUGUCAUUCACCAAAGUUUGUCAUUCUGCUUUUUAAUUUUUUUCAAUAUACAUUGAUUUAUGCCUUACACACGCUCAGAGUCAUUGCUUGCAGGUUUUGUACUAUGCUUAGAAAAACCUUCCUUAGUUCUGGAUUACGUACAAGAAAACAUCCUCUCAUGUUUUCUAAUAGUACUUUAAUGUAUUUAUUUUUAGCAUAAAAUCUUUGGUCCAUCUGGAGUUUAUUUUAGCACUGCAAAUAAAGUAGAAAUACUAUUUUAUUUUUUUCCAGAUGGCUACUAAGUUGUCUUAACUCCAUUUAUGAACAUAGAAGAUGAACAGCAUUUUUACAUAUAAGAAAUUUUUAAACAUAUGAAAAUAUGUUCAACUACAGUCAAUUUUUUAAACUGCAAAUAAUAACUAUAGUUAAACAUUAUUUGGCAUUAUCUACCUAAAUUAAACAUAGACUUCCCUUUGAUCCAGCAAUUUUAUUUCUAGAAGAUUUGCCUUUGGAUGUUCUCACAUCUAUUUACAAAUACAUACAUGCAUAGAUAUUCAUCACUAUUUUUAUCAGUAAAUAGGGAAAAAAGUAAGUUCAAGUAAAAGUCUUCUAAGAUGAAUUAUUUUUUUUCAUAUAUCCACAAUAAAGGACUAUGAAACCUUUUUAUUAACAAAAGAAUCAGGCUAUACAGGCCCGCUAAGAUUUGAU